This 1410-nucleotide ribosomal RNA is filed under the name Triticum aestivum (bread wheat). RNAcentral's name for it is "partial small subunit ribosomal RNA". Lineage: Eukaryota; Viridiplantae; Streptophyta; Magnoliopsida; Poales; Poaceae. The record is from RNAcentral.
AUGGAUUUUUCGCCAAAGUUCCACUCCGAUGGGAGCCUCUCACGAUAUAAAGCCAGGUGGGUUUGUCGUGGCUUUUCUCAGCAACAAGGAAUUGAUUACGAAGAAACCUUCUCUCCUGUUGUUAAACCUAGCACCAUUCGCACCGUUCUUAGUGUUGCUGUCUCCUCUUCAUGGCCCAUUCACCAACUUGAUGUUAAAAAUGCUUUCCUCCAUGGUUCCCUUCAAGAAAAUGUCUACUGCCAGCAACCUCUGGGUUUUGAAAAUCCAUCCUUUCCAACUCAUGUAUGUCUUCUUCAGAAAUCUCUCUACGGUCUUAAACAGGCCCCACGAGCUUGGUUUCAACGCUUCUCCUCCUUCAUUCAAACAAUAGGCUUCACUCCAUCUCUCUCCGGCACCUCUCUUUUUGUGUAUCAUCAAACUUCUGACACUGCCUAUUUACUUCUCUAUGUAGAUGAUAUCAUUCUUACCGCCUCCUCUCAAAAGUUCUUAGAUCAUAUUGUCUCUCUUCUUAGAUCUGAAUUUUCUAUGACUGACCUAGGACUCCUUCAUCAUUUCUUAGGCAUUGCUGUUGUUCGAGAUUCCUCCAGCCUUUUUCUUUCCCAACGCCAGUAUAUUCUUGAUCUUCUUAAUCGUGCUGGUAUGCUUGACUGUCAAUCAUCUCACACUCCUGUCGAUACUAGUUUUAAACUUUCGGCUACCGGUGAACCCUUUUCCGAUCCUACUCUCUAUCAUAGCCUAACAGGUGCUCUCCAAUAUCUCACCAUUACUCGUCCUGAAAUCUCUUUUGCUGUUCAACAAGCAUGUCUCUAUAUGCAUGAUCCCCGGGUUCCUCACUAUAAUCAUGUUAAACGCAUUCUUCGGUAUUUAAAAGGAACUCUCAAUCAUGGUCUCCACCUCAAUAAUUCUUCUCCAAACUCGCUUACCGCAUACUCUGAUGCAGACUGGGCUGGUUGUCCUGACACUCGAAGGUCCACUUCCGGUUUUUGUGUUUUUCCUGGUAACAAUUUGAUUUCUUGGUCUUCGAAAAGACAGGUUACAGUCUCACGUUCGUCGGCCGAGGCUGAGUAUCGCGCUGUGGCACAUGCCGUUGCAGAUACAAUCUGGAUUCGGCAGUUACUCUCCGAGCUACACAGGCCUAUUGAGCAGGCCACUAUUGUCUACUGUGACAACAUAUCAGCAGUCUACAUGACCAGCAAUCCAGUUCAACACCGACACACAAAGCAUAUUGAGAUUGAUAUUCAUUUUGUUCGUGAAAAGGUUGCUCUUGGUCAGGUUCGGGUGCUUCAUGUUCCCUCUACGGCUCAGUUUGCUGACAUUUUCACCAAGGCACUGCCUACUAAGCCGUUUCAAGAUAUCUGUUUCAGUCUCAACGUCGUCGAGCCUGCCGUUGAUACUGCGGGGGGAUGUUAG